AACACUGUUAACCUGCGGUACCUGCGGAGGGAUCAUUACACAAUAAUAUAUGAAGGCUGCUCGCGGCUGGAGUAUUUAUUACCCUUGUCUUUUGCGCACUUGUUGUUUCCUGGGCGGGCUCGCCCGCCACCAGGACCACAUACAAACCUUUUUUAUGUAGUUGCAAUCAGCGUCAGUAUAACAAAUGUAAAUCAUUUACAACUUUCAACAACGGAUCU
This 218-nucleotide unclassified non-coding RNA is filed under the name soil metagenome. Its description in RNAcentral is "partial contains 5.8S ribosomal RNA, internal transcribed spacer 2, and large subunit ribosomal RNA". The record is from RNAcentral.